UACGUAGGGUGCGAGCGUUAAUCGGAGUUACGGGGCGUAAAGCGUGCGCAGGCGGUUCGUCGUGUCCGAUGUGAAAGCCCCGGGCUCAACCUGGGAAUGGCAUUGGAAACUGGCGGACUCGAGUGUGGCAGAGGGGGGUGGAAUUCCGCGUGUAGCAGUGAAAUGCGUAGAGAUGCGGAGGAACACCGAUGGCGAAGGCAGCCCCCUGGGCUAACACUGACGCUCAGGCACGAAAGCGUGGGGAGCAAACAGG
RNAcentral lists this ribosomal RNA (253 nucleotides) under uncultured bacterium. RNAcentral describes it as "partial 16S ribosomal RNA". It matches the Rfam family "Bacterial small subunit ribosomal RNA", at positions 524 to 776 of the family's 1533-position model. The record is from RNAcentral.